This 252-nucleotide ribosomal RNA is filed under the name uncultured bacterium. RNAcentral describes it as "partial 16S ribosomal RNA". It matches the Rfam family "Bacterial small subunit ribosomal RNA", at positions 524 to 776 of the family's 1533-position model. The record is from RNAcentral.
UACGGGGGAUGCAAGCGUUAUCCGGAUUUAUUGGGUUUAAAGGGUGCGUAGGCGGAAUAUCAAGUCAGCGGUAAAAAUUCGGGGCUCAACCCCGUCGUGCCGUUGAAACUGAUGUUCUUGAGUGGGCGAGAAGUAUGCGGAAUGCGUGGUGUAGCGGUGAAAUGCAUAGAUAUCGAGAGGAACACUCGUGGCGAAGGCGGGUUCCUGGACAUUAACUGACGCUGAGGCACGAAGGCCAGGGGAGCGAAAGGG